UUUCCGUAGGUGAACCUGCGGAAGGAUCAUCAACAAAACAAUUCAAAAAUUCAAAACAAAAAAAACACCAAUUUCAUUCCAAAAUUAUAUUGGAAUGUUUUUUUAAUGGGGAUGUGGAGAUUUCUAAUUAGAUUUUUUUAAUUAGAUUCUUCUCAUGCCCCAUCAUUUAAAACUAAACUCCUAAAAUUAAAUUAAAAAAUUAUUCUAAAAAAAUUUUAAAAUAUAAAAAUAGAGACAACUUUUAACAAUGGAUCUCUUGGCUCUC
This 265-nucleotide unclassified non-coding RNA is filed under the name plant metagenome. RNAcentral's name for it is "partial contains small subunit ribosomal RNA, internal transcribed spacer 1, and 5.8S ribosomal RNA". The record is from RNAcentral.